This 495-nucleotide ribosomal RNA is filed under the name uncultured bacterium. RNAcentral describes it as "partial 16S ribosomal RNA". It matches the Rfam family "Bacterial small subunit ribosomal RNA", at positions 28 to 507 of the family's 1533-position model. The record is from RNAcentral.
GACGAACGCUGGCGGCGUGCCUAAUACAUGCAAGUAGAACGCUGAAGGAGGAGCUUGCUUCUCUGGAUGAGUUGCGAACGGGUGAAUAACGCGUAGGUAACCUGCCUGGUAGCGGGGGAUAACUAUUGGAAACGAUAGCUAAUACCGCAUAAUAGUAGAUGUUGCAUGACAUUUGCUUAAAAGGUGCAAUUGCAUCACUACCAGAUGGACCUGCGUUGUAUUAGCUAGUUGGUGAGGUAACGGCUCACCAAGGCGACGAUACAUAGCCGACCUGAGAGGGUGAUCGGCCACACUGGGACUGAGACACGGCCCAGACUCCUACGGGAGGCAGCAGUAGGGAAUCUUCGGCAAUGGACGGAAGUCUGACCGAGCAACGCCGCGUGAGUGAAGAAGGUUUUCGGAUCGUAAAGCUCUGUUGUAAGAGAAGAACGAGUGUGAGAGUGGAAAGUUCACACUGUGACGGUAUCUUACCAGAAAGGGACGGCUAACUACGUG